RNAcentral lists this ribosomal RNA (353 nucleotides) under uncultured Methanosaeta sp. Its description in RNAcentral is "bacterial SSU rRNA". It matches the Rfam family "Archaeal small subunit ribosomal RNA", at positions 87 to 443 of the family's 1478-position model. The record is from RNAcentral. Lineage: Archaea; Methanobacteriati; Methanobacteriota; Methanomicrobia; Methanotrichales; Methanotrichaceae.
UGCUCAGUAACACGUGGACAACCUGCCCUUAGGUUGGGUAUAAACCCGGGAAACUGGGUAUAAUACCCGAUAGGUCUCGAUUGCUGGAAUGCAUCGAGAUUUAAAGCUCCGGCGCCUAAGGAUGGGUCUGCGGCCUAUCAGGUAGUAGUGGGUGUAGCGUACCUACUAGCCUACGACGGGUACGGGUUGUGAGAGCAAGAGCCCGGAGAUGGAUUCUGAGACACGAAUCCAGGCCCUACGGGGUGCAGCAGGCGCGAAAACUUUACAAUGCUGGCAACAGCGAUAAGGGAACCUCGAGUGCCAGGUUACAAAUCUGGCUGUCGAGAUGCCUAAAAGCAUUUCAUAGCAAGGGC